CAGCCGCCACGGUAAAACGUAGGUGGCAAGCGUUGUCCGGAAUUAUUGGGCGUAAAGGGCUCGCGGGCGGUUUCUUAAGUCUGAUGUGAAAGCCCCCGGCUCAACCGGGGAGGGUCAUUGGAAACUGGGAAACUUGAGUGCAGAAGAGGAGAGUGGAAUUCCACGUGUAGCGGUGAAAUGCGUAGAGAUGUGGAGGAACACCAGUGGCGAAGGCGACUCUCUGGUCUGUAACUGACGCUGAGGAGCGAAAGCGUGGGGAGCGAACAGGAUUAGAUACCCCCGUAGUCCCUGUCUCUUAUAC
This 301-nucleotide ribosomal RNA is filed under the name uncultured bacterium. Its description in RNAcentral is "partial 16S ribosomal RNA". It matches the Rfam family "Bacterial small subunit ribosomal RNA", at positions 509 to 807 of the family's 1533-position model. The record is from RNAcentral.